AAUAAGUGCAGUUUUGCACUAUUUACGUUCAACGUUUGACCGUUCGUCUUAUUUGAAAAUUUUUUAUUAUUAGUAUUUUAAUUGCUAUUAGAUGAUAAAACAUAAAUAGUACUUUAUGUGUGACUAAAUAUUUUCAAAUUUUUCGCAAUUUUUUCAAAUAAGACUGACGGUUAAACGUUGGACACGGAUAUCCACGGCUGUAUUUAUU
Molecule: microRNA precursor, 208 nt
Organism: Oryza rufipogon (brownbeard rice)
Lineage: Eukaryota; Viridiplantae; Streptophyta; Magnoliopsida; Poales; Poaceae
Rfam family: MIR812 microRNA precursor family
Source: Rfam